This 1324-nucleotide ribosomal RNA is filed under the name metagenome. RNAcentral describes it as "bacterial LSU rRNA". It matches the Rfam family "Bacterial large subunit ribosomal RNA", at positions 1586 to 2925 of the family's 2925-position model. The record is from RNAcentral.
CAAAAAUCCGCCAGAUCGUCUGCCAGGAAAAUCCUCUAAGGAGAGUUAGGUAACCGUACCACAAACGGACACACGUGGACGAGAUGAGUAUUCUCAGGCGCUCGGGUGAUGAGUUGUUCAGGAACUAGGCAAAUUAACCCCGUAACUUCGGGAGAAGGGGUGCCCACGCAAGUGGGCCGCAGUGAAUAGCGUCAGGCGACUGUUUAAUAAAAACACAGGUCUCUGUUAAGUCGAAAAUGACGUAUAGGGGCUGACGCCUGCCCGGUGCCGGAAGGUUAAAGGGAGCGGUUAGCGCAAGCGAAGCUGUAAACUGAAGCCCCGGUGAAUGGCGGCUGUAAUGAUAACGGUCCUAAGGUAGUGAAAUUCUUUGUCGGGUAAGUUCCGACCUGCACGAAUGGCGUAACGAUCUGACGACUGUCUUAACAACUCGCCCGGCAAAUUUGUGGUUCCGGUGAAGACGCCGGAUGCCCGCCACAAGACGGAAAGACCCCGUGCACCUUUACUAUACCCUAUCAGUGAAUUAUGGGUUGAACUGCGCAGGAUAGGUGGGAGGCUUUGAGAUCGGUUUUUUGGAAUCGAUGGAGCCAAUGGUGAGAUACCACCCUGUUCAAUCUGUGAUUCUAACCUACUUCCAUGAUUUGGAAGAGGGACACUGGUAGGCGGGUAGUUUGACUGGGGCGGUCGCCUCCUAAAUUGUAAUGGAGGCGCUCGAAGCUGCGUUUAGGUGGUUUGGAAAUCCACCGUUGAGUGCAAAGGCAUAAACGCGGUUAACUGCGAGACCUACAAGUCAAGCAGGUGGGAAACCAGGACUUAGUGAUCCGGUGAUUCUGUAUGGAAGGGUCAUCGCUCAACGGAUAAAAGGUACGCCGGGGAUAAUAGGCUGAUCGGAGUCAAGAGUUUAUAUUGAUGCUCCGGUUUGGCACCUCGAUGUCGGUUCAUCGCAUCCCGGGGGUGUAGAAGCUCCCAAGGGUUAGGCUGUUCGCCUAUUAAAGCGGUACGUGAACUGGGUUCAGAACGUCGCGAGACAGUUCGGUCCCUAUCUGUGGUGGGCGCAGGAAAAUUGAGGGGGCUUGGCCUUAGUAUGAGAGGACCGGGCUGAACGAACCUCUUGUGAUACAGUUGUCACUCCAGUGGUACAGCUGUGUAGCGAAGUUCGGUUAGGAUAAGCGCUGAAUGUAUAUAAGUGCGAAACCUUCCCCAAGAUGAGUUUUCCCAACCGUAAGGUAAUAAGGGCCGUGGAAGACUACCACGUUGAUAGGACGGGUGUGUAAGAGUAGUAAUACUUUGAGCUAACCGUUACUAAUAGCCCGUUCGGCUUGACCUA